GACGAAGGGGGCAAGCGUUGUUCGGAAUUACUGGGCGUAAAGCGCGUGUAGGCGGUCGCUUAAGUCAGGUGUGAAAGCCUUGAGCUCAACUCAAGAAAUGCACUUGAUACUGGAUAACUAGAGGACCGGAGAGGAUAGUGGAAUUCCCAGUGUAGUGGUGAAAUACGUAGAGAUUGGGAAGAACACCAGUGGCGAAGGCGGCUAUCUGGACGGUUUCUGACGCUAAGACGCGAAAGCGUGGGGAGCAAACAGG
This 253-nucleotide ribosomal RNA is filed under the name uncultured bacterium. RNAcentral describes it as "partial 16S ribosomal RNA". It matches the Rfam family "Bacterial small subunit ribosomal RNA", at positions 524 to 776 of the family's 1533-position model. The record is from RNAcentral.